Melanotaenia boesemani (Boeseman's rainbowfish) is the source of this 275-nucleotide long non-coding RNA. RefSeq lists it as uncharacterized. The record is from RefSeq and is a predicted model, not a curated record. The transcript is spliced from 2 exons. Lineage: Eukaryota; Metazoa; Chordata; Actinopteri; Atheriniformes; Melanotaeniidae.
CGGCCGUGAGGACAGUUCUUCAUAUUUAACUUGCAAAUGAUCAACUAAAGGGCUCUUUGGAAACUUUGAAUAAAUAAAUUGAUAAAAAUGAAACUAAAAGAGGGAAAAAAAAGUCCAGUUAAGGAUCAAGUUGUGUAAUUUUACUCGGUUUUCCAGCCUCUGCUUCUCCACGUUCAACUUCAGAUGAUGCUGCAUUCACUGUACCUCAGAACUGGCAAGUUUCUCUUUCAGCUGAAUUAACUUCCAUUCAGCUUCAUUUAAAAAGACGAUUUGAU